This is a long non-coding RNA of Sinocyclocheilus anshuiensis, 373 nucleotides long. RefSeq lists it as uncharacterized. The record is from RefSeq and is a predicted model, not a curated record. Lineage: Eukaryota; Metazoa; Chordata; Actinopteri; Cypriniformes; Cyprinidae. The transcript is spliced from 3 exons.
CGCCAAAAAACUCGAGAGAAUAAGAAGAAGAGGAAGAAGAAGAAGAAGAUCUUAGUCUUCAAAACACGAGCAGCAGACAGAAUGCCAAGGAAAGAAAGAAUCAAAAGAAAAAAAACACAAGGAAAUCUCUGAUGCAGCCAAAGGUAGCAUCCUCCUCACAAGUUGGCUAAGGAGAGAGAAUAAAGAUGAAGUUGAACAUCAGUUGGCUCUAGUACUGAUGCUACUAUUACACACUGGCACAUCGACAGUAGAAGUCCUCACUUACCAGCACGAGGACCUGGUCACAAGGCAGAUAUUCAUAUGCACACGCUGCCUCCAGGAAGCCACAUGAGUAAACACUGCACUGCAACUGAGGACACCACCUGCUCGCCAU